GAUGAACGCUGGCGGGAUGCCUUACACAUGCAAGUCGAACGGCAGCAUAAGAGAGCUUGCUCUCUUGAUGGCGAGUGGCGAACGGGUGAGUAAUGUAUCGGAACGUGCCCAGUAGCGGGGGAUAACUACGCGAAAGCGUAGCUAAUACCGCAUACGCCCUACGGGGGAAAGGAGGGGAGUCUGCAAGGACCUUUCACUAUUGGAGCGGCCGAUAUCGGAUUAGCUAGUUGGUGAGGUAACGGCUCACCAAGGCGACGAUCCGUAGCUGGUUUGAGAGGACGACCAGCCACACUGGGACUGAGACACGGCCCAG
RNAcentral lists this ribosomal RNA (313 nucleotides) under uncultured bacterium. Its description in RNAcentral is "bacterial SSU rRNA". It matches the Rfam family "Bacterial small subunit ribosomal RNA", at positions 28 to 334 of the family's 1533-position model. The record is from RNAcentral.